Vigna unguiculata (cowpea) is the source of this 580-nucleotide long non-coding RNA. RefSeq lists it as uncharacterized. The record is from RefSeq and is a predicted model, not a curated record. Lineage: Eukaryota; Viridiplantae; Streptophyta; Magnoliopsida; Fabales; Fabaceae.
AAAAGUGAAAUGAAAAUAACAAAUCCCCCUUUUGGUACCCAUAAAUUGCUUCAUUUGUGCAUAGCUUCAUCAUCUUCAACAUUUAACUUCAACCACACACACAUAAGGGGAGAAAAAAUGUAUGCACCUGCACAGUACCAAGAACCAAGUUAUGUGGAACACGUUCGCAGACGCCACCAAGAAAAGGGAUUCCUUUACGCUUGUUUCUUUGCCUUGUGCUGCUGCUUCUGCUGCUAUGAAACCUGUGAGUGCUGUUUGGAUGUGUUAUGUUGCUGCUGCCCCUAGAUAUAAGGGUCACCAUCCCCUGUAAAAGUCCUAUGAAAAUAUUAUCAUCAUAUACUUCCUUCUCUGUGUAUCUAUCUAAAAGUAAUAAUUACAUAGAUGAACAUGAGACUUUCUGAUAUGAGUGUGUUACUUUUGACUUAUGGUUGUGAUCAAAAUUACUUUAUGAUCAAGGAGGCAUAGACCUAACAAGUACCAUUUAUUUUCUCUGUUUGUUGAAUAUUUUAAUUUGGCGCAAGUUACUCUGGUGAUAAUGUAAUGGUUAUAAAUGAAGAAUAAACUAUGAAUAUUUUGGGGA